This 780-nucleotide non-coding RNA is filed under the name Glyphodes perspectalis. The record is from RNAcentral. Lineage: Eukaryota; Metazoa; Arthropoda; Insecta; Lepidoptera; Crambidae.
AAAUAAAUUUUUUAUGGUUUAAAAAUUUUAUUAUAAAUUUAUUUUGCAUAUAAAUUUUAGUAAUAAUUUUUAAUUAUUUUAAUAAUAAUUAAUUUAAUAAAUAGUAGUAAUUAAUAUUAAAAAUUUAAGAAAUUAAGAUUUAGUAAUAUUUAAAUUAAUAACAAAUUUUGUGCCAGCAGUUGCGGUUAAACAAAAGUUAAAUUAAACUUUAUUAGUAAUUAAUAAAUAAAUUAUUAAUUUUAAAUAAAUAUUAAAUUAUUAAGUGAAAUUUUAAUUUAAUUAAAAUUAAUAUAAAAUUUAUGAUUUAAUAAAUUUUUAAAAUAAACUAGGAUUAGAUACCCUAUUAUUAAAAAUUUAAAUUUAUAAUGCUAAAAUAGUAUGUAAUUAUUUAUUGAAACUUAAAUAAUUUGGCGGUAUCUUAGUUCAUUUAGAGGAAUCUGUUUAAUAAUUGAUAGUCCACGAAUAAAUUUACUUAAUUUAAUAUUUUGUAUAUCGUUGUUAAAAAAAUAUUUUUAAAUAAUAAUAAUAUUUAAAAAUUAAAAUUAAAAAUUAAAUCAGAUCAAGAUGCAGAUUAUAAUUAAGAAUAUAAUGGAUUACAAUGAAUUUAUUUAAACUAAUAUUAAUUUGUAAUAAUUAAUUGAAGGUGGAUUUAAAUGUAAUUUUAUUUAAUUUAUUAAAAUGAUUAUAAAUUAAGAUAUGUACAUAUUGCCCGUCGCUUUCAUAAAUAAAUUGGAAUAAGUCGUAACAAAGUAGAGGUACUGGAAAGUGUUUCUAGAAAUA